Molecule: long non-coding RNA, 831 nt
Filed under: Homo sapiens (human)
Lineage: Eukaryota; Metazoa; Chordata; Mammalia; Primates; Hominidae
Description: HSALNT0077398
Source: RNAcentral
GAUCUAUUUGUGAUAGCAACAAGGGAUGCACGUGACAUUUGGUACCGAAGACCUGGGGCAGGGGGACUCCUUCGGGAGCCCAGUCCCCUGUCCUUGCCCUCAGUCUGUGAGGAGAUCCACGUAUGACCUCAGGUCCUCAGACCAGCCCAAGGAACAUCUCACCAAUUUCAAAUCAGGUAACCAGUCUCUUCACUGUCUUCUCCAGUCUCUCUCACUACCCUUCAAUCUCCCUGUCUUUUCAAUUCCAGUUCUUUUUCCUUUCUAGUAGAGACAAAGGAGACACAUUUUAUCCAUGAACUCGAAAACUCUGACCUCAGUCACGGAUUUUGGAAGACAGUCUUCCCUUGGUGUCUGAUCAUAGCGGGGACGCCUGCCCUGAUCAUUUGCCCACAUUCUGUUGGUGUCUGAUCACCGCAGGGACACAUGCCUUGAUCAUUCACCCACAUUCCUUUGGUGGCAAUCCAGUUAUGGGGACACCUGCUUUGGCUGCUCACCCACAUUACAGCCCACAUUACAGCGCUGCUCACCGCCCCCCUGCCCCUUCUCCGUGUCUCUACCUUUCCCUUUAAACUUACUUCCUUCACUAUGGGCAACCUUCCAUCCUCCAUUCCCCCUUCUUCUCCUUUAGCCUGUGUUCUUAAAAACCUAAAACCCCUUCGACUAACACCUGACCUAAAACCUAAACGUCUUAUUUUCCUCUGUAAGACCACUUGGCCCCAAUACAAACUUGACAAUAGUUCUAAGUGACCAGAGAAUAGCACUUUCGAUUUCUCCAUCCUACAAGAUCUGGAUAAUUUUUGUCAUAAAAUGGGCAAAUGGUCUGAGGUGCCU